AGAGUUUGAUCCUGGCUCAGGAUGAACGCUGGCGGCGUGCCUAAUACAUGCAAGUCGAGCGAACGGACGAGAAGCUUGCUUCUCUGAUGUUAGCGGCGGACGGGUGAGUAACACGUGGAUAACCUACCUAUAAGACUGGGAUAACUUCGGGAAACCGGAGCUAAUACCGGAUAAUAUUUUGAACCGCAUGGUUCAAAAGUGAAAGACGGUCUUGCUGUCACUUAUAGAUGGAUCCGCGCUGCAUUAGCUAGUUGGUAAGGUAACGGCUUACCAAGGCAACGAUGCAUAGCCGACCUGAGAGGGUGAUCGGCCACACUGGAACUGAGACACGGUCCAGACUCCUACGGGAGGCAGCAGUAGGGAAUCUUCCGCAAUGGGCGAAAGCCUGACGGAGCAACGCCGCGUGAGUGAUGAAGGUCUUCGGAUCGUAAAACUCUGUUAUUAGGGAAGAACAUAUGUGUAAGUAACUGUGCACAUCUUGACGGUACCUAAUCAGAAAGCCACGGCUAACUACGUGCCAGCAGCCGCGGUAAUACGUAGGUGGCAAGCGUUAUCCGGAAUUAUUGGGCGUAAAGCGCGCGUAGGCGGUUUUUUAAGUCUGAUGUGAAAGCCCACGGCUCAACCGUGGAGGGUCAUUGGAAACUGGAAAACUUGAGUGCAGAAGAGGAAAGUGGAAUUCCAUGUGUAGCGGUGAAAUGCGCAGAGAUAUGGAGGAACACCAGUGGCGAAGGCGACUUUCUGGUCUGUAACUGACGCUGAUGUGCGAAAGCGUGGGGAUCAAACAGGAUUAGAUACCCUGGUAGUCCACGCCGUAAACGAUGAGUGCUAAGUGUUAGGGGGUUUCCGCCCCUUAGUGCUGCAGCUAACGCAUUAAGCACUCCGCCUGGGGAGUACGACCGCAAGGUUGAAACUCAAAGGAAUUGACGGGGACCCGCACAAGCGGUGGAGCAUGUGGUUUAAUUCGAAGCAACGCGAAGAACCUUACCAAAUCUUGACAUCCUUUGACAACUCUAGAGAUAGAGCCUUCCCCUUCGGGGGACAAAGUGACAGGUGGUGCAUGGUUGUCGUCAGCUCGUGUCGUGAGAUGUUGGGUUAAGUCCCGCAACGAGCGCAACCCUUAAGCUUAGUUGCCAUCAUUAAGUUGGGCACUCUAAGUUGACUGCCGGUGACAAACCGGAGGAAGGUGGGGAUGACGUCAAAUCAUCAUGCCCCUUAUGAUUUGGGCUACACACGUGCUACAAUGGACAAUACAAAGGGCAGCGAAACCGCGAGGUCAAGCAAAUCCCAUAAAGUUGUUCUCAGUUCGGAUUGUAGUCUGCAACUCGACUACAUGAAGCUGGAAUCGCUAGUAAUCGUAGAUCAGCAUGCUACGGUGAAUACGUUCCCGGGUCUUGUACACACCGCCCGUCACACCACGAGAGUUUGUAACACCCGAAGCCGGUGGAGUAACCUUUUAGGAGCUAGCCGUCGAAGGUGGGACAAAUGAUUGGGG
RNAcentral lists this ribosomal RNA (1492 nucleotides) under Staphylococcus aureus B147830. RNAcentral's name for it is "16S ribosomal RNA". It matches the Rfam family "Bacterial small subunit ribosomal RNA". The record is from RNAcentral. Lineage: Bacteria; Bacillati; Bacillota; Bacilli; Caryophanales; Staphylococcaceae.